GCAUAUUAUCUGGAGCCAUGCCAUUUAAGGUUGUAAUCUCAUUAGAUUUCGCAAGCUAAAUAGGGUUGGGCCUACAGUACUUGCAUGGAAGACCUCCAAGAAAAGUCCAGGUUAUUGUAUGAA
Molecule: ribosomal RNA, 123 nt
Filed under: Chelonoidis abingdonii (Abingdon island giant tortoise)
Lineage: Eukaryota; Metazoa; Chordata; Testudines; Testudinidae
Source: RNAcentral